AUUUAAGCUUUUGCUGGAGAAAGAAAGAUCCAUCCACUAUGCGAGCUUUCCAUGGAGGUUCUCCAGCAGGUCUAGGACGAAGCUUGGGCUCGUCUUGACUGCAAAACUCCAAGAAAGGUGGUCGUGAACCCGCAGAGAACGAGGCCGUCGAGCUCUUCACUGUCGAGUUGCCAGUCCCGAUCACAUCAGCACAGGUUCAGUAGUCUUGGGCUCGAAGAUCUCUCGACAAUUGGGGUAAUUAACGAACUGAGGUGUGCUGGACUGCGCUAUGCCAAGAGUGAGCUUGCUUUCAAACUUUAUCUACGCUGAGAUGAAAACCAGCGCUGACGACGUGACUUUCGUGGUGGCUCUCACAGCUGGAAAGAAAAUCGAAGCCAAGACCAACCGAGACUCUUGGAAAUGUGUUUUGAUGGGAUUCAUAUAUUAGUAAAUUACAGUAACUUUGAAG
Molecule: long non-coding RNA, 448 nt
Filed under: Selaginella moellendorffii
Lineage: Eukaryota; Viridiplantae; Streptophyta; Lycopodiopsida; Selaginellales; Selaginellaceae
Description: long non-coding RNA (SMOE_LNC001394)
Source: RNAcentral